This 505-nucleotide ribosomal RNA is filed under the name uncultured bacterium. RNAcentral describes it as "partial 16S ribosomal RNA". It matches the Rfam family "Bacterial small subunit ribosomal RNA", at positions 28 to 507 of the family's 1533-position model. The record is from RNAcentral.
GACGAACGCUGGCGGCGUGCCUAAUACAUGCAAGUAGAACGCACAGUUUAUACCGUAGCUUGCUACACCAUAGACUGUGAGUUGCGAACGGGUGAGUAACGCGUAGGUAACCUGCCUGGUAGCGGGGGAUAACUACUGGAAACGAUAGCUAAUACCGCAUAAUAUUAAUUAUUGCAUGAUAAUUAAUUGAAAGGUGCAAUUGCACCACUACCAGAUGGACCUGCGCUGUAUUAGCUAGUAGGUGAGGUAACGGCUCACCUAGGCGACGAUACAUAGCCGACCUGAGAGGGUGAUCGGCCACACUGGGACUGAGACACGGCCCAGACUCCUACGGGAGGCAGCCGUAGGGAAUCUUCGGCAAUGGACGAAAGUCUGACCGAGCAACGCCGCGUGAGUGAAGAAGGUUUUCGGAUCGUAAAGCUCUGUUGUAAGAGAAGAACGGGUGUGAGAGUGGAAAGUUCACACUGUGACGGUAUCUUACCAGAAAGGGACGGCUAACUACGUG